AUUGAACGCUGGCGGCAUGCUUUACACAUGCAGGUCGAACGGUAACAGGCCUUCUGGUGCUGACGAGUGGCGAACGGGGGAGUAAUGCAUCGGAACGUGCCCAGAGUAGGGGGGUAACGCAGCGGAAGCUGUGCUAUUACCGCACGUGCGCUGAGGAGGAGAGCGGGGGAGCAGGCAGCAAUGUUUGGCCUCGCGCCUUUGUAGCGGCCGAUGUCAGAUUAGGUAGUUGGUGGGGUAAAGGCCUACCAAGCCGACGAUCUGUAGCUGGUCUGAGAGGACGACCAGCCACACUGGAACUGAGACACGGCCCAGACUCCUACGGGAGGCAGCAGUGGGGAAUUUUGGACAAUGGGCGCAAGCCUGAUCCAGCAAUGCCGCGUGCGGGAAGAAGGCCUUCGGGUUGUAAACCGCUUUUGUACGGAACGAAAAGGAGCUAGCUAAUACCUGGGGCUGAUGACGGUACCGUAAGAAUAAGCACCGGCUAACUUCGUG
Molecule: ribosomal RNA, 492 nt
Filed under: uncultured bacterium
Lineage: Bacteria
Description: partial 16S ribosomal RNA
Rfam family: Bacterial small subunit ribosomal RNA
Source: RNAcentral